RNAcentral lists this ribosomal RNA (489 nucleotides) under uncultured bacterium. RNAcentral's name for it is "SSU rRNA". It matches the Rfam family "Bacterial small subunit ribosomal RNA", at positions 26 to 521 of the family's 1533-position model. The record is from RNAcentral.
AGGACGAACGCUGGCGGCGUGCUUCACACAUGCAAGUCGAACGGGGCUCAUUCGGUGGUAACACCGGAGAAGGCCUAGUGGCGAACGGGUGCGUAACACGUGAAGAACCUGCCCCGAAGACUGGGAUAACAGCGGGAAACCGCUGCUAAUACCGGAUGACCCCACCAGGCCGCAUGGCCAGGUGAGGAAAUGGGCCUACCGCUUCGGGAGGGCUUCGCGGCCUAUCAGCUUGUUGGUGGGGUAACGGCCUACCAAGGCUACGACGGGUAGCUGGUCUGAGAGGACGACCAGCCACACUGGGGACUGAGACACGGCCCAGACUCCUACGGGAGGCAGCAGUGGGGAAUCUUGCGCAAUGGGCGAAAGCCUGACGCAGCAACGCCGCGUGAGGGAUGAAGGUCUUCGGGUUGUAAACCUCUUUCGAGCAGGGACGAUUGUGACGGUACCUGCAGAAGAAGCUCCGGCCAACUACGCGCCAGCAGCCGCGGU